Nannospalax galili (Upper Galilee mountains blind mole rat) is the source of this 65-nucleotide microRNA precursor. The record is from Ensembl. NCBI's taxonomy places the organism in Eukaryota, Metazoa, Chordata, Mammalia, Rodentia, Spalacidae.
CUCAAAUCCUUGGAAUCUAGGUGUGAGUGCUGCUUCAGUGCAACACACCUAUUCAAGGAUUCAAA